GUUUGACCUCGGGUCAGGUAGGAAUACCCGCUGAACUUAAGCAUAUCAAUAAGCGGAGGA
Molecule: ribosomal RNA, 60 nt
Filed under: Ilyonectria sp.
Lineage: Eukaryota; Fungi; Ascomycota; Sordariomycetes; Hypocreales; Nectriaceae
Description: partial 28S ribosomal RNA
Rfam family: Eukaryotic large subunit ribosomal RNA
Source: RNAcentral